GGGUUGUGAGGUUAAGCGACUAAGCGUACACGGUGGAUGCCCUGGCAGUCAGAGGCGAUGAAGGGCGUGCUAAUCUGCGAUAAGCGCCGGUAAGGUGAUAUGAACCGUUAUAACCGGCGAUACCCGAAUGGGGAAACCCAGUGUGAUUCGUCACACUAUCAUUAACUGAAUCCAUAGGUUAAUGAGGCGAACCGGGGGAACUGAAACAUCUAAGUACCCCGAGGAAAAGAAAUCAACCGAGAUUCCCCCAGUAGCGGCGAGCGAACGGGGAGGAGCCCAGAGCCUGAAUCAGCAUGUGUGUUAGUGGAAGCGUCUGGAAAGGCGCGCGAUACAGGGUGACAGCCCCGUACACAAAAGCGUAUGUGCUGUGAGCUCGAUGAGUAGGGCGGGACACGUGGUAUCCUGUCUGAAUAUGGGGGGACCAUCCUCCAAGGCUAAAUACUCCUGACUGACCGAUAGUGAACCAGUACCGUGAGGGAAAGGCGAAAAGAACCCCGGCGAGGGGAGUGAAAAAGAACCUGAAACCGUGUACGUACAAGCAGUGGGAGCACCCUUUGGGGUGUGACUGCGUACCUUUUGUAUAAUGGGUCAGCGACUUAUAUUCUGUAGCAAGGUUAACCGAAUAGGGGAGCCGGAGGGAAACCGAGUCUUAAUUGGGCGUUAAGUUGCAGGGUAUAGACCCGAAACCCGGUGAUCUAGCCAUGGGCAGGUUGAAGGUUGGGUAACACUAACUGGAGGACCGAACCGACUAAUGUUGAAAAAUUAGCGGAUGACCUGUGGCUGGGGGUGAAAGGCCAAUCAAACCGGGAGAUAGCUGGUUCUCCCCGAAAGCUAUUUAGGUAGCGCCUCGUGAAUUCAUCUCCGGGGGUAGAGCACUGUUUCGGCUAGGGGGUCAUCCCGGCUUACCAACCCGAUGCAAACUGCGAAUACCGGAGAAUGUUAUCACGGGAGACACACGGCGGGUGCUAACGUCCGUCGUGAAGAGGGAAACAACCCAGACCGCCAGCUAAGGUCCCAAAGUCAUGGUUAAGUGGGAAACGAUGUGGGAAGGCCCAGACAGCCAGGAUGUUGGCUUAGAAGCAGCCAUCAUUUAAAGAAAGCGUAAUAGCUCACUGGUCGAGUCGGCCUGCGCGGAAGAUGUAACGGGGCUAAACCAUGCACCGAAGCUGCGGCAGCGACACUCAGG
Molecule: ribosomal RNA, 1186 nt
Filed under: Salmonella enterica
Lineage: Bacteria; Pseudomonadati; Pseudomonadota; Gammaproteobacteria; Enterobacterales; Enterobacteriaceae
Description: partial 23S ribosomal RNA
Rfam family: Bacterial large subunit ribosomal RNA
Source: RNAcentral